Molecule: ribosomal RNA, 427 nt
Filed under: uncultured bacterium
Lineage: Bacteria
Description: partial 16S ribosomal RNA
Rfam family: Bacterial small subunit ribosomal RNA
Source: RNAcentral
UGGGGAAUAUUGGACAAUGGGCGAAAGCCUGAUCCAGCCAUGCCGCGUGUGUGAAGAAGGUCUUCGGAUUGUAAAGCACUUUCAGUUGGGAGGAAGGGCAUUAACCUAAUACGUUAGUGUUUUGACGUUACCGACAGAAUAAGCACCGGCUAACUCUGUGCCAGCAGCCGCGGUAAUACAGAGGGUGCAAGCGUUAAUCGGAAUUACUGGGCGUAAAGCGCGCGUAGGUGGUUUGUUAAGUUGGAUGUGAAAUCCCCGGGCUCAACCUGGGAACUGCAUUCAAAACUGACUGACUAGAGUAUGGUAGAGGGUGGUGGAAUUUCCUGUGUAGCGGUGAAAUGCGUAGAUAUAGGAAGGAACACCAGUGGCGAAGGCGACCACCUGGACUAAUACUGACACUGAGGUGCGAAAGCGUGGGGAGCAAACA